This 18-nucleotide unclassified non-coding RNA is filed under the name Mus musculus (house mouse). Its description in RNAcentral is "oocyte_clustered_small_RNA3489". Lineage: Eukaryota; Metazoa; Chordata; Mammalia; Rodentia; Muridae. The record is from RNAcentral.
UGCAAUCAUUUGUCAGUC